UGGCAUGAACGGGACUGUCUGUAUGAUCUCUAUCUGCCAAUCGACCUCUCUUUCUAAAGCGAGAUCAAGUUGUACUCUACAAUGCUGAUAGAAGGCAGUCUAGAAAAUUGAUCUACGAGACUACGAACUCGUACAAAGAGUGAAACAAAGGAUUUAGGGUUUACUCUCGAUAAUAGCUGUCGUAGCCCGGUUAGCAGUGUACUCUGGUAUUCCAGUUCGGAGCAAGUAUGACUUCAACCUCGACAUUCCUGGAGACGCAAUGGGAAGCCAUAUAAGGAUAAAGGCGGAGAAAAAGCAGCUCUGUGGCAUGCUCAUAUCUUGGAAGGCAUCAAAGGGCGUGCUAACAGCUAUAUCGGCGUGCAUGCUGGAGCUAUUCUUGUGGAGAAUCCAUGUAGCCCUCGGCGUGAUUGGUGUUGUGCUCAUCGAGCUCGGACUCAAAGCGCUCACUCUUUCGCCUUUUUCAUUCAUGGAACUACCUACCCCUUGUGAAGAUGGCCGUCGAUCGCGGAAUAUUAACUUUCCAGCACUCACAGCGUCAGACUAUGGAAUCACUAGGGUCAACGAAGGCGGAUCGAGUCG
This 579-nucleotide small RNA is filed under the name Histoplasma ohiense. RNAcentral describes it as "hypothetical lncRNA". Lineage: Eukaryota; Fungi; Ascomycota; Eurotiomycetes; Onygenales; Ajellomycetaceae. The record is from RNAcentral.